AAACGACUCUCGGCAACGGAUAUCUCGGCUCUCGCAUCGAUGAAGAACGUAGCGAAAUGCGAUACUUGGUGUGAAUUGCAGAAUCCCGUGAACCAUCGAGUCUUUGAACGCAAGUUGCGCCCCAAGCCUUCGGGCCGAGGGCACGUCUGCCUGGGUGUCAC
RNAcentral lists this ribosomal RNA (161 nucleotides) under Phaleria macrocarpa. RNAcentral's name for it is "5.8S ribosomal RNA". It matches the Rfam family "5.8S ribosomal RNA". From Rfam's summary of the family: 5.8S ribosomal RNA (5.8S rRNA) is a component of the large subunit of the eukaryotic ribosome. It is transcribed by RNA polymerase I as part of the 45S precursor that also contains 18S and 28S rRNA. Functionally, it is thought that 5.8S rRNA may be involved in ribosome translocation. Lineage: Eukaryota; Viridiplantae; Streptophyta; Magnoliopsida; Malvales; Thymelaeaceae. The record is from RNAcentral.